GACGAACCGUGCGAACGUUGUUCGGAAUCACUGGGCGUAAGGGGUGCGUAGGCGGGUCUUUAAGUCAGGGGUGAAAUCCUGGAGCUCAACUCCAGAACUGCCUUUGAUACUGAGGAUCUUGAGUUCGGGAGAGGUGAGUGGAACUGCGAGUGUAGAGGUGAAAUUCGUAGAUAUUCGCAAGAACACCAGUGGCGAGGGCGGCUCACUGGCCCGAUACUGACGCUGAGGCACGAAAGCGUGGGGAGCAAACAGG
Molecule: ribosomal RNA, 253 nt
Filed under: uncultured bacterium
Lineage: Bacteria
Description: partial 16S ribosomal RNA
Rfam family: Bacterial small subunit ribosomal RNA
Source: RNAcentral